Molecule: ribosomal RNA, 254 nt
Filed under: uncultured bacterium
Lineage: Bacteria
Description: partial 16S ribosomal RNA
Rfam family: Bacterial small subunit ribosomal RNA
Source: RNAcentral
UACGUAGGGUGCAAGCGUUAAUCGGAAUUACUGGGCGUAAAGCGUGCGCAGGCGGCUAUGCAAGACAGAUGUGAAAUCCCCGGGCUCAACCUGGGAACUGCAUUUGUGACUGCAUAGCUAGAGUACGGUAGAGGGGGAUGGAAAUUCCGCGUGUAGCAGUGAAAUGCGUAGAUAUGCGGAGGAACACCGAUGGCGAAGGCAAUCCCCUGGACCUGUACUGACGCUCAUGCACGAAAGCGUGGGGAGCAAACAGG